RNAcentral lists this ribosomal RNA (323 nucleotides) under Triticum aestivum (bread wheat). RNAcentral describes it as "partial small subunit ribosomal RNA". Lineage: Eukaryota; Viridiplantae; Streptophyta; Magnoliopsida; Poales; Poaceae. The record is from RNAcentral.
CCUAACCCUAAAUCGCUCUUUCCCUGUCCGUCCUCCUGUGUGCGGCGCCGCCGCUGCGCACAGGCCACAUCUCCUCGCCCUCCUCGACAUCUCCGGCCAAGGCGCUCACUUCUCCGGCCCUCCUCCACAUCUCCUCGCCUCCACCCCAUCCACUUCCUGUCGAAGACUGCGGCAACGGAGCUCGGCGGCUGCGGCCCUUCUCCAAGACUGCAGCAUGGUGCUCGGCGGCUGCGGCAACGGAGCUGAUGGAGCGCGAGCCGACCAGUUCAACGGAGGCAGUAGCACGGGGCAGCGGCAGCAACAUGGAGGGCGUCCGCUUGACU